RNAcentral lists this ribosomal RNA (854 nucleotides) under Diaporthe sp. Its description in RNAcentral is "partial large subunit ribosomal RNA". It matches the Rfam family "Eukaryotic large subunit ribosomal RNA", at positions 69 to 954 of the family's 3401-position model. The record is from RNAcentral. Lineage: Eukaryota; Fungi; Ascomycota; Sordariomycetes; Diaporthales; Diaporthaceae.
CAGGGAUUGCCCUAGUAACGGCGAGUGAAGCGGCAACAGCUCAAAUUUGAAAUCUGGCCUCGGCCCGAGUUGUAAUUUGCAGAGGAUGCUUCUGGCGCGGUGCCUUCCGAGUUCCCUGGAACGGGACGCCACAGAGGGUGAGAGCCCCGUAUGGUCGGACACCAAGCCUGUGUGAAGCUCCUUCGACGAGUCGAGUAGUUUGGGAAUGCUGCUCUAAAUGGGAGGUAAAUCUCUUCUAAAGCUAAAUACCGGCCAGAGACCGAUAGCGCACAAGUAGAGUGAUCGAAAGAUGAAAAGCACCUUGAAAAGGGGGUUAAAUAGUACGUGAAAUUGUUGAAAGGGAAGCACUUAUGACCAGACUUGGGCCGGGCGGCUCAUCAGGGGUUCUCCCCUGUGCACUCCGCCCGGCACAGGCCAGCAUCGGUUCUCGUGGGGGGAUAAGACCGACAGGAACGUAGCACCCUCCCGGGGUGUGUUAUAGCCUGGCGGACGAUACCCCCGUGGGGACCGAGGUCCGCGCUCCGCAAGGAUGCUGGCGUAAUGGUCAUCAGUGACCCGUCUUGAAACACGGACCAAGGAGUCGUCCAUUAGAGCGAGCGUUUGGGUGUAAAACCCGCACGCGUAAUGAAAGUGAACGCAGGUGAGAGCUUCGGCGCAUCAUCGACCGAUCCUGAUGUUCUCGGAAGGAUUUGAGUAAGAGUUUUAACGGACGGACCCGAAAGACAGUGAACUAUGCUUGAAUAGGGUGAAGCCAGAGGAAACUCUGGUGGAGGCUCGCAGCGGUUCUGACGUGCAAAUCGAUCGUCAAAUUUGAGCAUGGGGGCGAAAGACUAAUCGAACUGUCUAGUAGCUGG